UAUUAGGUUGGUGCAAAAGUAAUUGUGGUCUUUGCCAUUAAAAGUAAUGGCAAACACAGCAGUUACUUUUGUACCAACCUAAUA
Non-coding RNA from Pongo abelii (Sumatran orangutan), 84 nucleotides. The record is from Rfam. NCBI's taxonomy places the organism in Eukaryota, Metazoa, Chordata, Mammalia, Primates, Hominidae.